This 420-nucleotide ribosomal RNA is filed under the name bacterium. Its description in RNAcentral is "partial 16S ribosomal RNA". It matches the Rfam family "Bacterial small subunit ribosomal RNA", at positions 355 to 776 of the family's 1533-position model. The record is from RNAcentral.
UGGGGGAUAUUGCACAAUGGGCGAAAGCCUGAUGCAGCGACGCCGCGUGGGGGAUGAAGGCUUUCGGGUUGUAAACCUCUUUCGCUAUCGAACAAGGCCCGCUUAGGGUGGGUUGAGGGUAGGUGGAGAAGAAGCGCCGGCUAACUACGUGCCAGCAGCCGCGGUAAUACGUAGGGCGCGAGCGUUGUCCGGAAUUAUUGGGCGUAAAGGGCUUGUAGGCGGCUUGUUGCGCCUGCUGUGAAAACGCGGGGCUUAACUUCGCGCGUGCAGUGGGUACGGGCAGGCUUGAGUGUGGUAGGGGUGACUGGAAUUCCAGGUGUAGCGGUGGAAUGCGCAGAUAUAUGGAGGAACACCGAUGGCGAAGGCAGGUCACUGGGCCAUUACUGACGCUGAGGAGCGAAAGCAUGGGUAGCGAACAGG